Molecule: ribosomal RNA, 97 nt
Filed under: uncultured bacterium
Lineage: Bacteria
Description: partial 16S ribosomal RNA
Rfam family: Bacterial small subunit ribosomal RNA
Source: RNAcentral
CACACCGCCCGUCACACCAUGAAAGCCGUUUGUACCCGAAGUCGCCGUGUCAACCGCAAGGAGACAGGUGCCGAAGGUAUGGAUGGUGAUUGGGAUG